This 107-nucleotide small nuclear RNA is filed under the name Catagonus wagneri (Chacoan peccary). Lineage: Eukaryota; Metazoa; Chordata; Mammalia; Artiodactyla; Tayassuidae. The record is from RNAcentral.
GCACUCACUUCAGCAGCACAUAUACUAAAAUUGGAACAGUACAUAGGGGAUUAGCAUGGCCCCUGUGCAAGGGUGACACACAAAUUUGUGAAGCAGCCCAUAUUUUU